GCUUUGCUGAUCUCACUCAUCACGAGUUCAAGGCUUCUCGUUUGGGUCUCUCUGCUGCUUCAGCCUCUGUGAAUCUUGACCAUGACGGGCCAAAUCUACGAAUGCCUGAUUUUGUUGGCGGUUCCUGAUUCAAUUGAUUGGAGAGAGAAAGGGGCUGUGACUCAGGUCAAGGAUCAAGGGGGCUGUGGUGCUUGUUGGUCUUUCUCAGCCACAGGAGCUAUUGAAGGCAUAAAUAAGAUCUUUUCUGGAUCUCUUGUUAGCCUCUCUGAACAAGAGUUAGUUGAUUGCGACAAAUCUUACAAUAAUGGUUGCGAGGGAGGGCUCAUGGACUAUGCAUUCCAAUUUGUCAUAAACAACAAUGGGAUUGACACAGAGGAAGAUUAUGCAUACCUAGGACGCGAAAGGUCCUGCAAUAAAGAAAAGUUAAGAAGGCGUGUUGUGACCAUUGAUGGAUACACUGAUGUGCCCCAAAACAAUGAGAAAGCACUAUUAGAGGCUGUUGCAAAUCAACCUGUGAGUGUGGGAAUAUGUGGCAGUGAAAGAGCAUUUCAAUUGUACUCAAAGGGGAUUUUCACUGGCCCAUGUUCAACUUCUUUGGAUCAUGCUGUAUUGAUUGUAGGAUAUGGGUCAGAAAAUGGAGAAGAUUAUUGGAUUGUGAAAAACUCAUGGGGAAAAAACUGGGGAAUGAGUGGUUAUAUGCACAUGCUGCGAAACAGCGGAAAUUCUCAAGGUGUCUGUGGCAUCAACAUGCUGGCUUCAUAUCCAAAGAAGACCAGCCCAAAUCCACCUCCUCCAUCUCCACCAGGACCUACUAGAUGUGAUCUCUUUACUCGCUGUGGAGAAGGGGAAACUUGCUGCUGUACUCACCACAUUUUUGGAAUAUGCUUUACAUGGAAAUGUUGCGAACUUGAUUCUGCUGUUUGUUGCAAGGAUGGACGUCGUUGUUGCCCCCAUGAUUAUCCGGUUUGUGACACAACGAGGGACAUAUGCCUUAAGCAUCACAGUAAUGGCACGAGAAUGGAAAUAGUUGCAAAGAAAAGCUCCUCUGGGAAGUUUGGCAGUUGGAGUUCCCUUCUUGAAGGUUGGAUUCUGUAAAGCCAGCUUCAUUUGUACUACUGUAUUUUUUUUAUGUCAAGCUCCCUUAGAAUUCACAUGUUUCACCACUGAAGAAAAGACUAUUGGUAUAACUAUAAACUAAAUGGAGGGUUGGUUAGUAAAGAUUUCAUUGCAUUGUUGGAUGAAUUUAACAGGGGAAUCGGGGAACUGGGAGGCUUGUACUGUCCUGAUUCUGAAGUCCAUCAAGUAUUGAAAUCAGAAAAUUGAUUCGGGACUUUCAUUAGGCUAGAUAUAAGAUUGGUGUGAGCAUCUCUUUCAUUUGUAUGUGAAAUAUGCUUCUCACAAGCUGCAUAACAGCAAUUUUGUUU
RNAcentral lists this unclassified non-coding RNA (1424 nucleotides) under Hevea brasiliensis (rubber tree). Lineage: Eukaryota; Viridiplantae; Streptophyta; Magnoliopsida; Malpighiales; Euphorbiaceae. The record is from RNAcentral.